ACGAUCGUAGCUCAGUUGGUUAGAGCACCACCUUGACAUGGUGGGGGUCGGUGGUUCGAGUCCACUCGGUCGUACCA
Molecule: transfer RNA, 77 nt
Filed under: Prodigiosinella confusarubida
Lineage: Bacteria; Pseudomonadati; Pseudomonadota; Gammaproteobacteria; Enterobacterales; Pectobacteriaceae
Also listed under: 7 other names
Description: Serratia sp. ATCC 39006 tRNA-Val
Rfam family: tRNA
About the family: Transfer RNA (tRNA) molecules are approximately 80 nucleotides in length. Their secondary structure includes four short double-helical elements and three loops (D, anti-codon, and T loops). Further hydrogen bonds mediate the characteristic L-shaped molecular structure. tRNAs have two regions of fundamental functional importance: the anti-codon, which is responsible for specific mRNA codon recognition, and the 3' end, to which the tRNAs corresponding amino acid is attached (by aminoacyl-tRNA synthetases). tRNAs cope with the degeneracy of the genetic code in two manners: having more than one tRNA (with a specific anti-codon) for a particular amino acid; and 'wobble' base-pairing, i.e. permitting non-standard base-pairing at the 3rd anti-codon position.
Source: RNAcentral